This is a non-coding RNA of Pelobates cultripes (western spadefoot toad), 211 nucleotides long. The record is from the annotation of a GenBank genome assembly. Lineage: Eukaryota; Metazoa; Chordata; Amphibia; Anura; Pelobatidae.
GUCCUCUAUAAACUGGAACUGUACUUUCCUGAAAUAAAUAAACAAGUUAAAUGGUUGGUCUUCUCACAGGUCUAUAUUUUUCUUCCUUCUAAAUUGGCAUCAUCUCCGUAGUUUUCUAAAAAACAAACUUCAAGAGAAAGUAAAUAUCACACAACUAGAUCUCUCCUACCUAGCUCGCCAUUAAUGUAAGAAAUUAUGACCCUCUUACAAG